AGAGUUUGAUCCUGGCUCAGAUUGAACGCUGGCGGCAGGCCUAACACAUGCAAGUCGAGCGGAUGAAGGGAGCUUGCUCCCUGAUUUAGCGGCGGACGGGUGAGUAAUGCCUAGGAAUCUGCCUGGUAGUGGGGGAUAACGUUCCGAAAGGAACGCUAAUACCGCAUACGUCCUACGGGAGAAAGCAGGGGACCUUCGGGCCUUGCGCUAUCAGAUGAGCCUAGGUCGGAUUAGCUAGUUGGUGAGGUAAUGGCUCACCAAGGCGACGAUCCGUAACUGGUCUGAGAGGAUGAUCAGUCACACUGGAACUGAGACACGGUCCAGACUCCUACGGGAGGCAGCAGUGGGGAAUAUUGGACAAUGGGCGAAAGCCUGAUCCAGCCAUGCCGCGUGUGUGAAGAAGGUCUUCGGAUUGUAAAGCACUUUAAGUUGGGAGGAAGGGCAUUAACCUAAUACGUUAGUGUUUUGACGUUACCGACAGAAUAAGCACCGGCUAACUUCGUGCCAGCAGCCGCGGUAAUACGAAGGGUGCAAGCGUUAAUCGGAAUUACUGGGCGUAAAGCGCGCGUAGGUGGUUCGUUAAGUUGGAUGUGAAAGCCCCGGGCUCAACCUAGGAACUGCAUCCAAAACUGGCGAGCUAGAGUACGGUAGAGGGUGGUGGAAUUUCCUGUGUAGCGGUGAAAUGCGUAG
Molecule: ribosomal RNA, 690 nt
Filed under: uncultured bacterium
Lineage: Bacteria
Description: bacterial SSU rRNA
Rfam family: Bacterial small subunit ribosomal RNA
Source: RNAcentral